UACGUAGGGCGCAAGCGUUGUCCGGAAUUAUUGGGCGUAAAGAGCUCGUAGGCGGCCUGUUGCGUCCGCUGUGAAAUCCCGGGGCUCAACCCCGGGCCUGCAGUGGAUACGGGCUGGCUAGAGGCAGGCAGGGGAGAACGGAAUUCCUGGUGUAGCGGUGAAAUGCGCAGAUAUCAGGAGGAACACCGGUGGCGAAGGCGACACGCUGGGCCGUACCUGACACUGAUGCGCGACAGCAUGGGGAGCAAACAGG
RNAcentral lists this ribosomal RNA (253 nucleotides) under uncultured bacterium. Its description in RNAcentral is "partial 16S ribosomal RNA". It matches the Rfam family "Bacterial small subunit ribosomal RNA", at positions 524 to 776 of the family's 1533-position model. The record is from RNAcentral.